This 459-nucleotide ribosomal RNA is filed under the name uncultured bacterium. RNAcentral describes it as "partial 16S ribosomal RNA". It matches the Rfam family "Bacterial small subunit ribosomal RNA", at positions 338 to 795 of the family's 1533-position model. The record is from RNAcentral.
CCUACGGGAGGCAGCAGUGAGGAAUAUUGGUCAAUGGGCGGGAGCCUGAACCAGCCAAGCCGCGUGAGGGAAGAAGGUACAGCGUAUCGUAAACCUCUUUUGUCAGGGAACAAAGGCGGGGACUAGUCCCCGGAUGAGGGUACCUGAAGAAAAAGCAUCGGCUAACUCCGUGCCAGCAGCCGCGGUAAUACGGAGGAUGCGAGCGUUAGCCGGAUUUAUUGGGUUUAAAGGGUGCGCAGGCGGCCUGUUAAGUCAGCGGGAAAAGCCCGGGGCUCAACCCCGGCGAGCCGUUGAAACUGGCGGGCUGGAGUUGGAGAGAAGUACGCGGAAUGCGCGGUGUAGCGGUGAAAUGCUUAGAGAUCGCGCAGAACCCCGAUUGCGAAGGCAGCGUACCGGCUCCACACUGACGCUGAGGCACGAAAGCGUGGGUAUCGAACAGGAUUAGAUACCCCUGUAGUC